GGGAGACUAGCGUGUUAAGGUAGGCACAUCGGUCUGUAAAACCGAAGGCUUCGGCUCCGAGUGGGUUCAAUUCCCUCGUCUCCCACCA
Molecule: transfer RNA, 88 nt
Filed under: Bacteroidia bacterium
Lineage: Bacteria; Pseudomonadati; Bacteroidota; Bacteroidia
Description: tRNA-Tyr
Rfam family: tRNA
About the family: Transfer RNA (tRNA) molecules are approximately 80 nucleotides in length. Their secondary structure includes four short double-helical elements and three loops (D, anti-codon, and T loops). Further hydrogen bonds mediate the characteristic L-shaped molecular structure. tRNAs have two regions of fundamental functional importance: the anti-codon, which is responsible for specific mRNA codon recognition, and the 3' end, to which the tRNAs corresponding amino acid is attached (by aminoacyl-tRNA synthetases). tRNAs cope with the degeneracy of the genetic code in two manners: having more than one tRNA (with a specific anti-codon) for a particular amino acid; and 'wobble' base-pairing, i.e. permitting non-standard base-pairing at the 3rd anti-codon position.
Source: RNAcentral